This is a long non-coding RNA of Asparagus officinalis (garden asparagus), 552 nucleotides long. RefSeq lists it as uncharacterized. The transcript is spliced from 3 exons. The record is from RefSeq and is a predicted model, not a curated record. Lineage: Eukaryota; Viridiplantae; Streptophyta; Magnoliopsida; Asparagales; Asparagaceae.
UUACAAUUGUGCUGAACCAAAACGCCUCUAUCGGAUCCGCACACAACAUAAAAUCUAAACCCUAAACCCGCUACCACAAGACUACAAAGAAGAGAGAGAGAGAGAGAGAGAGGAGCUCCAUCACAAAGCGCAGAGAAUUUGCACUACAACGCAAGCACAAGCAACGUCAUAAAUUUUUGACCAGCUCCCUCAACUCAGCUCUCCCCUUAGUAACUGUAGGCUGUGAAGUCUCAGUGGGAGCUUCCAUUUACUGUUCAAGCUGUUAUUUUGGUGGAGGAGAAAGGAACAGCUACCUUUGUGAAUCCUGGAGAAAUGAACCAUUGUGCCCCUGAUUGGAAUGCAGAGGAUGAUUUAAGAUAUUCUCAUGAGCUCUUUUCCAAGCCAAAUGAGAAGAAAUCUAUGCCAGGACCAGACAAUGAACUCUUGGAGCUCCUACAUAGAAAUGGGCAUGUUUCAAUGCAAAGCCAAGCCAAUCCUGAACCAUUGCCACAACCUAAUCAAGUUCAGAGAUCUGAUCUCAAACCGAUCAAUUUGAUGCAUGAAGAUGAAACU